Molecule: RNA transcript, 1938 nt
Organism: Ricinus communis (castor bean)
Lineage: Eukaryota; Viridiplantae; Streptophyta; Magnoliopsida; Malpighiales; Euphorbiaceae
Gene name: rhomboid-like protein 14, mitochondrial
Exons: 4
Source: RefSeq, a predicted model, not a curated record
CUUGACCAGACACACAGCAAUUAAGAUGAAGUCGAGUGCGGAAGAGUCUACGAUGCACUAGAAUCUUCUCUUUGCAAGUAACCGACUUAUUAGAUUCUCUAUUCUUAAUCUUAUUUCAUGAAAAUUAUCGUAUUGGGCUGAAAACUUUGAUUGGGAAAGGCAAUCAUGGAGAGAAGCGGAGGGAGGUUACCGAGGGGAAUGUUGCCUCUGCUGGCAAUACACGCUGUGAGUGAGUACUAUAGGCUUCCGUGGAAACCUCCUGUCACGGCGGGGCUUCUCGCCGCCAAUACUCUCAUCUAUUUGAGACCGGCCUUCCUCCGUCCUAUUCUUCCUUCUAUCCACGACGUCUGGUUCAAUCCUUACCUUAUUCUCAAGGAUGGGGACCUCAAACGCUUCUUUCUAUCAGCAUUCUACCAUGUUGGGGAGUCUCAUCUGGUAUACAAUAUGAUGUCUCUCUUGUGGAAGGGUAUCCAGUUGGAAACUUCAAUGGGAAGUGUUGAAUUUGCAUCUAUGGUCGCUGCGUUGCUGACUAUGUCCCAGGGUAUCACACUGCUACUUGCUAAGUCCCUUCUCUUGUUCUUUGAUUAUGGCAGACCUUUUUAUUCUGAAUAUGCUGUUGGGUUUUCUGGUGUUCUAUUUGCAAUGAAAGUCGUCCUCAAUUCUCAGUCUGAUAACUAUACACAUGUGCAUGGACUAGUCGUACCAGCACGCCAUGCUGCAUGGGCUGAAUUGAUUCUUAUCCAAAUGUUUGUUCCUGGAGUCUCAUUCCUUGGCCACCUUGGUGGAAUACUUGCUGGAAUUCUCUAUCUGAAGUUGAAAGGAAUAUAUUCAGGUUCAGACCCACUGACUUUAAUCAUCAAAAAUCUUACCAGCAUAUUGAGCUGGCCUUUAAGGCUCGUGAAAGGCUUAUUUGGACCCAGGCAACAGCAGAUUUCUGGACGGGGAACUGUUGGUGGGAGUCAGGCUGGAAGGGCUGUAUUGAGGGUGUGGAGGUGCCAAGCAUGCACAUAUGAUAAUUAUAGUUCAUCAAGUGUAUGUGAAAUGUGUGGGAAUAGUUUGCCAUCAUAUCGGUUGCCACGUCAGUUUGAUGACCUUUCCUUGGAAGAGAUACGCCGGCGAAGGAUUGAAAGAUUUGGUCGAUGAACUAUCUUGGCCAAUGGAUUAUAAAAAUCUUGAGCAACAACGCAAAUAAUAAUAUCUUCUGUAACGUGACUGCUGAGGGCUCAGUGGAUGCAGAAAGGCAUUGCUUGCAUUAACUUUGUAUAACUAUGGUGGAAGUCUGGCUAGAGCUGAUGAUAUUUCAGACAGUGAAUCUCAAGGGGCGCAUUCCCAGAGACAGGAGUCACAAGUGGAUAUUGUAUCAAGCUGGAAUAUUGCUGAAUGCUUGCCCAAGACAAUUCAGGUUAAACUUCUCUGCUUUUAUAGACAUGCUUAAGGAACAACAAUGUAGGCUAACAACACUGUGUCAAGGGACAAAUGUGCAGCAGGGAAGAGAAUAUUGGUAUUUACUCAUCUGCAAUUCAAUCCAGAUGAGUGCAACUAGCUAGCAUAGAAGUAUGGGAAAUGGCAGUCCGAUAAUGUGAUCAUGUUCUCUGAGAUGGUAAAAUUUUCGACUUGGUGAUUAUAUUGGUAAAAAUUUCAUUGCUGAUGGCAACCCAUUUAAGGGGGAAACUUUCAGAGGCUCCUAAUCACCAAGUUCUUACUACCUUCCCUCUUCCAAAGAGUAUGUUAGUGGAAGGAAAGAUUGGGAGCAAUUCUGAAAGAAAAUGUAUCGUCACAAGUGAUUACAUUGAUUACAAAUUAUUUGAUGUAUUUUGUCCAAAUUGUAGAUAAAUUUUCCUCUUUUUGGCACUGAUGACUCAAAGUUACUUCAUGUAUUCCUUGUACAAUCCCCUGAUUCUUUUCAGAAAUAUAUUAGAUGGGUAGUCACAUUAUUAA